CAAGAGCGUAUGUAAAAGUUGUUGCAGUUAAAAAGCUCGUAGUUGAACCUUGGGUUUGGUUGGCCGGUCCGCUUUUUUGCGAGUACUGGAUUCAACCGAGCCUUUCCUUCUGGCUAACCAGUCGUUUCGGCGGCUGGCGAACCAGGAUUUUUACUUUGAGAAAAUUAGAGUGUUCAAAGCAGGCAUUAGCUUGAAUAUAUUAGCAUGGAAUAAUAGAAUAGGACGUUAUGGUUCUAUCUUGUUGGUUUCUAGGACCAUCGUAAUGAUUAAUAGGGACGGUCGGGGGCAUCAGUAUUCAGUUGUCAGAGGUGAAAUUCUUGGAUUUACUGAAGACUAACUACUGCGAAAGCAUUUGCCAAGGACGUUUUCAUUAA
RNAcentral lists this ribosomal RNA (374 nucleotides) under uncultured eukaryote. RNAcentral describes it as "partial 18S ribosomal RNA". It matches the Rfam family "Eukaryotic small subunit ribosomal RNA", at positions 592 to 976 of the family's 1831-position model. The record is from RNAcentral.